UCUAAAGAAAAGGAGGAAGGAAAAAAGGAGCAGUCCACCGCACCAUGGUCUGGAGUACUCCUCUUUCUCUCCGUCCAUGGUGACGAACUACGAGAUCUGGGCGUGAUCCGCUCCGUGGUCCGCUCCAUGGGCGUGAUCCGCUACCUAUUGAUCAGGACGAAUAACGCACGGUGACCGGAGGUGGCUCCACGGCGUUCCUAUGUCCACCCAUCUCCUCCGCUCUAGAGAUUGCGAAGGCGGCAGCUACGGCGCUGGAGGGACGACCUGGAUGUGCAGGCUACUCCCCUAUCUUCUGUCAUGCGGUGGUGACCCGGAGGCGGCGUGGGCAGUGCAAUGGUCCUGCCCGAGCUCUCCAGGGACAACGGCCUUCUCUGGUGUCCCUCUCCAUGGUGGUUGUUCUUCUCACUGGUGAGAUCUCCUUCCUCCUCUUAUUUCCUUCUUCUCCUCCAUGAAUUUCUGAAUUUCUAGGGUUAGGGUUCUUUGUUUUUGGGAGCGGUGCAGGAGAAGGGGGUGAUGCUGAGUUUGGCACCCUGCCAUGGAAUCAAUUCAGGCGCAGAUGGAGCUCAUACAGAAGAAGUAGAUGAGCUCAAGUCUGCGGAUGAGGAAUCAUGUUAGAGUAUCUUCUUUGUUCUAGCCAAAGGUACUAAUGUUUCUUAUCUGUUUUAGAUGAAUUGUUCCUUCUUUAUUCCUUGGAACUCCCCUGUUUUGGAUGAACUAACUAAAUUAAUUAAUUUCUCAUGGAAAUAGGGUAAGAGUGAAAUUUUGUUGGAGGGUGCUUAAUCAGCCAUUCCCCUUCUUAGUGGAGGUUCCUUAUUUUAAUAAGGCUGGUCUGCCAUCUAAGAUCUCACCGGCCCCUACAAUGUUUUCGGCGCCGGAGCCUUUGCCGGCAGAGAAUUUUGAUGAUGGAUCAACGGAGGAACCUGAGCAUCCUGAUAUGAAGG
Hordeum vulgare subsp. vulgare (domesticated barley) is the source of this 941-nucleotide long non-coding RNA. RefSeq lists it as uncharacterized. The transcript has 2 exons. Lineage: Eukaryota; Viridiplantae; Streptophyta; Magnoliopsida; Poales; Poaceae. The record is from RefSeq and is a predicted model, not a curated record.